This is a non-coding RNA of Coprinopsis sp. MPI-PUGE-AT-0042, 73 nucleotides long. The record is from the annotation of a GenBank genome assembly. Lineage: Eukaryota; Fungi; Basidiomycota; Agaricomycetes; Agaricales; Psathyrellaceae.
GGGAGCAUGAUUCAGUUGGGAGAGCAGCAGGGUGAGGUUCUACAGGUCCUGCGUUCGAUCCGCAGUGUUCCCA